UGUCAGAUUUCCACCAUCAUCUAACCCACAGUACCUGCUCCUGUCUGUGUGCAUUCGCCAGGAUUCAUCAUGUGAUUAUCUGAAAUUACUACCAAAAUCGUAACCUUUUCAAUGAUGAGUUUUUCUUCCCUAGAGAUUUGCAGGCAAUAGAAAAGGACUUCAGCAUUGGAGAAGCAACCUUGGAGAAUUCAGAAUCAAUAGGUAAGUACCGUUCAAUCUCUCUGAGUUCCCAUAGGCUCAGGUUAGUUGAUUCUGUAGGUUUUCAUGUGGUGUCCAUGACUGCUCUGGCUCCUUUAAUCUC
This 301-nucleotide long non-coding RNA is filed under the name Mus spicilegus (steppe mouse). Its description in RNAcentral is "lncRNA (ENSMSIG00000029600.1)". Lineage: Eukaryota; Metazoa; Chordata; Mammalia; Rodentia; Muridae. The record is from RNAcentral.